Lolium rigidum is the source of this 1381-nucleotide long non-coding RNA. RefSeq lists it as uncharacterized. The transcript has 4 exons. NCBI's taxonomy places the organism in Eukaryota, Viridiplantae, Streptophyta, Magnoliopsida, Poales, Poaceae. The record is from RefSeq and is a predicted model, not a curated record.
UAUGUCAACGAUAGUUCCUUUGAAUAGCAUGUUUUUGCCAGUAUAUGUUGUUGCUUACUUAAGAAAAGAACAUGACACUGAGUUUAGAGUGUUUCUUCUCUACCUCCUACCUUGUGAACCGAUGCUACUGGUGCUUUACUGUACCUUUGUGUUGUGAUGCUCUAGCAUGCUGUUACAUGAUGAUGUUCUUAUUUAGUGGGUGUUGACAUUGCUACAGGAUGGACUGUCAUACUCUCCUUUUCAAUUAUCAAGUUUAGAAUGUUUGUUGUAUUAAGUCCAUGGGAACGUUGCAUCAUGAGUGUGAAAAUAGAGCGGAUACAGACGAAAUUGAUUGUUGCCACAUUUGUUUUCAUAUUUAUGUGCGGAAAAAAAAACUGAACACGGAAACGCCAGAAAAAAAACGAAAGCAGAUAUUGUCGGACAAACCGAAUAUAGUGCCAGAAAACGUUGUUCCGUUUCCAUUUCUGCCAAAAAGUUACCAUUUCCAUUUUGCAAAAUUCCAUCUCCAUCUCCGUCUCCAUAUUUCCAUUCCGUUUCUGUUUUUCCACGAAAAAGUCGGAAACUCUCCACUCCAUUUUCAUCCCUAGCAUUGACCACAUGUGGCUUUAUUUUUUAGAUGCCAAGUGGGUUUUAUCUCGUCUUCUACCUGUUGAAUGUUGGCUUGAAUGGGAUGUGUGUUUUCAGUAAAAAUAUGUGUAUUGCUAGUCCGCUCCUUUGGACCAAUUGACUUAAUCAAUUAUCAACCUUGAAUAAGUUUUUUUAUUUUAUGUGGGCUAAACGUGUCCCUUGAUUUCUUAUUUAAGAAGAGUGUUUUUGUUAUUUUCUAUCUUGUGCUGACUUGGAAAUUUCUCCAGGGCCUAGAGCAUGUAUGUACACUGAAGGAUGCACAAAGAUUCAGCAGGGUUGUGCUAGUUGCAGCGACAAGCGUAUUGUUUUGCAGCGCUGGCGGGAGGAGUUCACCGCCGUGCAGGCAUGGCGGCAGGAUGGCAUGGAGGACGAGAUCACGGUCGCCUUCCUAGAGCUGCUAUUGUUGGUGGCUCUCCUCGAUUAUCUCUCCGAAAUGCUGGCUCCAACGACGUCCUUGAUGUUCUAGUGCUGGCCAAAACCCUGUUCCUCUGCUGCUGACAACCUCCCCAGCCGGCAGCUACCUAGUUUGCUUUCUAACAUGUUGCAAAUACCCGUGAUGACGGCUUCUGGUACCUGCGCGCUGCAUACUGGAAGCUCGGGGUUCUGGCUCGGCGGCGCUUUCGCUGCCGGGCAUAUUGGCUGCAGAUUGAACAAGAAAUUACAGGACACGACAAAUUAUCCAGAACUAUUCACAGAGGUGCUGUUUGUCGGUGCUCUUGUUGUAAGGCACGACCUCUUGGAGUCCUGGUGCAGA